Molecule: non-coding RNA, 6680 nt
Organism: Podarcis lilfordi (Lilford's wall lizard)
Lineage: Eukaryota; Metazoa; Chordata; Lepidosauria; Squamata; Lacertidae
Source: the annotation of a GenBank genome assembly
CAAAUUACUUGCCUUGCCCCGGGUGCUGACAACCCACGCUACGCCGCUGGUGAAACACAAGAGCAGUCAAGUACAACAUUUCUAGAGUGAACAUGUUUACACAUGGGGAGGAAUGUUUGUCCAGCCAGCAGGUAAACUUCCUGUUUCCUUCUGGGCUGGGACAGACUUCCUCUGCAUGUGACUAGAGGUGGGCGUGGCCUCACCUGUGUAGGUAGCAACAAAAGUACAGGACAGGACAGCCAUCUCUCUCUCUCUAUGACUAUUUUCGUAGAAGAAGCAACAUCUGCUUAGCCAAAUAUGCUCUCUUGGUCUCCAGCCAAGAGAGGACAAAGGGAGUGUCUCCUUAUGAGAUAGUUUCCAGGUGUAUGUAACUUUUCUAAGUUAAGUCUGCCUUCUGGGAUCUGAUUGUGAACAAAAUGUGAGUAAACUCUUUUUAUACUUUUAUAGAAGACUGUGUCGUGUCUUAUCUUUUAUGAGGGAAUAAGGGGAUGCAGGUGGUGCGGUGGGUUAAACCACAGAGCCUAGGACUUGCCUAGGACAGAAGGUCAGUGGUUCGAAUCCCCGUGAUGGGGUGAGCUCCCAUUGCUCAGUCCCUGCUCCUGCCAACCUACCAGUUCGAAAGCACGUCAAAGUGCAAGUAGAUAAAUAGGUACCCCUCCGGCGGGAGGGUAAACGGCGUUUCCGUGCACUGCUCUGGUUUGCCAGAAGCGGCUUUUCAUGCUGGCCACAUGACCCGGAAGCUGUACGCCAGCUCCCUCGGCCAAUAAAUCAAUCAAUUUCUUUAUUCGACCGAUAGUCAGAAUUAAAACAUUACACAAUAAUUAUAAACUAUAACAUCAUAAGUUACAUAAGGUACAUAAGUAAGGUAGAGCCACGGUACUAGAUCUCUCACAGAUAACCCACGUCAAAGCAUUCAAUUAUACGUUUCCGACACUUGAGUGCCAGGAAAAGAAAUUUAGCCACUGACAAGGUUGUUUUCCCAGAAGACUUAUUUAGCAGAUAUGCUGUCUGCUUUCCUCUUUGUCGGGAACUGAGCUGGGGUAAGUAUGGAGUUAUAAGAUACUGUCUUAAAUCGUUGUAGAAGGGACAGCUCAAUAAAAUGUGCUCUGUGGAUUCUACCUCACCCAAUGCACAGUGGCAUAAUCUCUGGUCAUAUGGGACUCCUCCAUAUCUUCCCUUCAGGACCGCCGAGUCAAGAACAUUCAGCCUAGCCGCAGUAAAUAGUCUGCGGUAUUCCACGUAGUGGAUAUCCGCCAGGUAGCGAGCUGGGGCAGCCCGAUACAACUGCUCCCCAGAAACAACCCAGGUUUCACACGGGCUAUGUCCUCCUGUCUGGCAAUAUCCCUUAAUCUUUGCGCGAUCACCGCCUUUGCGUGGCUAUACGUCAUGGACUCUAUAUAAAGGGAGGACAACCCACACUUCUGCACUUCCUCCACUAUCUCCCUUUCCCAUGGAGAUUUAAAGUUAUCCCUCAGAAUCAAGGGGGCCAAACCCACCGGUCUGAAACAGAGCUUGAGCCAUAGCCAUAACUUCGCUUUCAGGGCCACAUACCUAAAGGCUUGACAACCAGUUUCCAGCCUCAUGAUCGCACCUGCCACAGAGGGGGGGAUCCUGAGUAUGGCCCUGAGGAAUUGGGUUUGGAUAGAUUCCAAUUUUCAAAAUCCCUACGUGAGCCCAAGGCAAUGCCCACCAGCAGAAGAGGGAGGACUUUCAUUUUAAAGAGACGUAAGGCAACAUUGACAGUUUGUGCCUGUUUCUUGGAGUACAGGGUUCUAAUCAUCAGGGCUGCUUUGGAUGCGUUCGAGGCUAUGUAUUCUCUGUGCGCCAGGAAGGACCUAUUUGAUCUUACAACCUGACCCAGGUACUUGAAGCAACUGACCUGCUCUAAAGGAAUACCAUUAAUUGACCAUAAAUUAGGUUUCGGUCGAGCAGCAAAGACCAUUAUUUUGGUCUUGGCAUAAUUUAAUUGGAGCUCGUGUUGGGUCUCAUAUUCAUGAAGAGCUCGAAGCAUCCUCCUUAAUCCGAUGGGGAGGUAGCUAAUAGGGCGGCAUCGUCCGCAUACAGUAGGACAUUCAAGGCUCGUCCUGCCAGUUUUGGUGGAUGGAAAUCAGCAUUUGCCAUAUGCACCACUAGCGAAUUUAUAUAGAAGUUAAACAGAGCAGGGGCAAGCAAACAGCCCUGUCUUACCCCCCUAGUGGUGGCAACCGGGUUGGAGACUAGCCCCUUACUAUCUAUCCUAAUCCUCAAGAGGGUAUUUGUAUGCAAAUUAAUAAUCAGCAAGAGAAGGCGGCGGUCGAUAGAUGUCGCUGCCAAUUUUGUCCAUAGCUGGUUCCUGGGAAUUAGAUCAAAGGCCUGCUUAAAGUCUAUAAAGGCGACGUGGAGGGCUUUUAGGCCAUUGCCAGCGUACUUGGUGGCCAAAUGAUUUAGGAUUAAGAUUUGGUCUGUUGUUGAUCUUCCGGGGCGGAAACCCGCCUGUUCCUCCCUCGGCCAAUAAAGCGAGAUGAGCGCCGCAACCCCAGAGUCGGUCACGACUGGACCUAAUGGUCAGGGGUCCCUUUACCUUUACUACCAGAACAGUUAUUAUAGAGGCUUUAGCGAGCCUGAGCAAAUGUAUCUGCUGUGAGUUUAAAAAGGGGAAUGUUAUUGGUAUGAGCUUUCGUGUGCAUGCAAACUAAUUAUAUUUCUAUACCACCCUUAAUCUGAAGAUCAUAGGGCAGUUUACAGUUAAGGACUAGAUGGGCAAUUGACCUUAUCCAGCAGGAUCUUCUUAUGUUCAACCUGUACAAUUCGACCCUGACACAAUGAGCAUCUGCUUUCAUCAAAGCAAGUCCCAGGCUCAAUCGCCAGGAUCUCCAGGGAGAGCUGAGAGAGACCCAGGUUUGGGACCCUGGGAAGUCACUGCCAGACAGUGCAGAAUACAAUGAGCUACAAUGUACCAGUGGCCUGACUUCAGUGUAAGACAGGUUCCUAUGCAGAGACUCCCACCCCUUUGAAUGAUUGUGCUAUAAAGUGCCCUGUACAUUGAUGAUGCUACACUUAGAUGGAGCCCUGACCCACAACUGCUAGACUCAAUGGAAGUUUUGUUCUCAUAGGUUGUAAUGAAUCCCUGCUUCCUGGUUCCCUUAAAAUCCAUAAGGACUUCCAGCUAAUUUUCUUCUUCUCCCAAUGAAUGUUUAAUUUCAUAUUCAAUUAAGAACACUCAGCUUUUGUGAUCUAGGAAGAACUAUUGGGUUUUUACAGUCUCAGGGCAAAACCCUUAUUUUGUGAGAUUUCCAGUUGAAAUCAGUACAGUGGUACCUCAGAUUACAUACGCUUCAGGUUACAUAUGCUUCAGGUUACAGACUCCGCUAACCCGGAAGUAGUACCUCAGGUUAAGAACUUUGCUUCAGGAUGAGAACAGAAAUCGUGCUCCAGGGGCGCGGCGGCAUCUGGAGGCCCCAUUAGCUAAAGUGGUGCUUCAGGUUAAGAACAGUUUCAGGUUAAGAACAGACCUCCGGAACGAAUUAAGUACUUAACCUGAGGUACCGCUGUAAUCCAUGAUUGCCAGACAGGCACAUGAGGGGCUGAUGCUCAUAGAGUUCCUUGAACAAUAUAGAAGGGACUGUAUGAGGUUACUUCCUUAAUGCUUUGGUGGGAAUUUCUAACAAAGGAAAUAAUCUUAUGUACUUCCUGCCUGCCUGAACUCUCCCUUUCUUUCAAGACAGCAGAUGUACCCACCUACCUGGGCUUUGCUUAGAGUCCAGACUCCAUUUUGGAAACUAAUUUUGUAUUCUGUACCUAAGAAGCAUUUUUACCUGAAUAUUACUUAGAAGUAUUAGCUUUCUUCAUUUAAGGCAAGUAAACCUUUUUAUUUUUACUAAAAUGUGUGCUUUAUUUUUAGCAAUGGGGACAAACAGGGAAAAGGUCAGCAGACCACUAAUAAACAGGGAUUAAAAGGUGUAAUUGUCUAAUUCCAGUGCUUUUCUUUCUUAAAAAAAUGUUUAGGGGUACUCUCAUUUUGACUCAAGAAAAUCACCAUUUUAUAGUUCAAAUCGGGGGAAAUAAAUACAGUAAAUGGACAAAAGUAUGAAGAUUCACAAAAUGUUUAGGGGUAUGCGUCCCUCCAGAAAAAAGCACUGCCUAAUUCCUAGCUUCGAGUAAGCUGCAGAAGCUUGUGAGUGUUUUCACUCUGCUGAAAAGGGCUUCACAACCUGAUUAUAGUGGUACCUCGGGUUAAGUACUUAAUUCGUUCCGGAGGUCCGUUCUUAACCUGAAACUGUUCUUAACCUGAAGCACCACUUUCGCUAAUGGGGCCUCCUGCUGCCGCUGCACUGCUGGAGCACGAUUUCUGUUCUCAUCCUGAAGCAAAGUUCUUAACCUGAGGUAAUAUUUCUGGGUUAGUGGAGUCUUUAACCUGAAGCAUAUGCAACCUGAAGCCACUGUACUCUCAAAUUUCUCCCACACACAUUGGACAAGAGGUUUAAAUUGUAAUUUACAGAUUCAAUCCUCAAUCUAACUGCAUCAUAUAUUUUUAAAAUAAUGAUUAACAAGAUAAGAUUAUAAGAAUAUAAUAGCAAGAUAAGAAUAUAAGAAGAGCUUGCUGGGUCAGGCCAAUGAUGCAUCUAGUCCAGCGUCCUGUUUUCACAGUGGCCACUGGAUUGGAGCACAAGAGCAGUCACCCCUCCUGUGGUUUCCAGCAACUGAUACUCAAAAGCAUUACUGCCUCCAUACUCCAGACUUCCCACUUCACUUGGACUGGGAGAGUUCUGAUUUCUGAACUUCAUAAUUUUUUAUGAAGACCAUAGGAAGAAUUAUGCUGAAUCAGACCACAGUUCCUCUCCAUCUCUAGACAAACUCUUGCCAAGGGGAGAACGUAGGAAUAUAGCAAUAGUUCUCCUGGAUCUGGCCAGUGGUCCAUCUUUUUCUCACAGUGGUCAGAAUUCCCCUCACAUUGUUCUUCUCUUUGUUCCCCUUAUUUUGACUUGGUUGCUUAAAUGCAGGGGAUUUCUCUCAUCCUCUAACAAUGGAACAAUGGGUCCAUGUGGACACCAGGAAACUCAAACAGAAAAAAAAUAAAAUUGUUUAGGUAAUCCUUCAAAAGUUACUUGAAAUCUUCAAAAACCCAGAAACUCCAGCGGGUGCAGAAUGCUGCGGCGAGACUCCUUACGGUGUCUUCGCCGCGGGAUCACAUUCAUUCAGUGCUAUACCAGAUGCACUGGCUCCCAGUGGAGUACAGGGUCAGGUUUAAGGUGCUGGUUUUAACCUUUAAAGCCCUUCACGGCCUAGGACCCUCAUACCUAUGGGACCGCCUCUCCUGAUACGCCCCAUGGAAGAUCUUAUGGUCUACAAAUAAUAACACCUUAGAGAGAUCCCGGGCCUCAGAUUAGGCGGCCUCGACCAGGGCCAGGGCCUUUUCAGCCUUGGCCCCUGCCUGGUGGAACGCUCUGCCACAAGAGAUCAGGGCCCUGCGGGAUUUGACAUCUUUCCACAGGGCCUACAAGACGGAGUUGUUCCGCCAGGCCUUUGGUCAGGGCUCAGCCUGACUCCCCUUUUCUUUUUGUAUGAGAACUAAUAUGAAAGAGGCCUCCCAGCAUACUCACAGAGCCAUAUAAGAUCAGCAUAAACAGUUGAGCCUAUAAGCACCUACUGUUCCCAAAACUAGCUCUGCGGAAAGCCAUCUAAUUAGACUUUAAUUUGCUUUUGACCUGUUUUUAGGAGGUAAUUUAAUUAUUGUUUGAUUUUAUACUAAUGUUAUAUAUUUGAUGUUAGCCACCCUGAGCCCGACUUCAGCCGGGGAGGGCGGGAUAUAAAUAAAAGUUGUUUGUUAUUAUUAUUAUUAAAAAAGUACUCUCAGGGAUUUUACUCUGGGCCCAUAACCUUUAUGUGGAAAAACAGAUUGAGGAUUAAUUUUGUAGAUUAAUCUUAUUUCAUGUGUGGGGUAGAAAUAUAAAAGUAAUCUGGAUGUGAAGCAUUUUAGCAGAGUAAAACAUAAUUUUGGGGGUUUAUUAAAGCUUAGGAAUUAGGCAAUUAUCCCCUUCUAUAUAUGUAAUCAGUUGACCUUCCCCUCUUCAACUCCAUCGCAGAGAAUGAACCACAUGUUUUUAGUAAGAUAAACAGGAAAGGUGUUUACUUACAUUUCAAUGCAGGCAGCAAAUACAGCAGUGUGCAAAAACAAACAAACCACGUUAUAAAUUACAAUAAAAUAAAUUAGUAGUGUUAGCUAACAUGGCUGAAAGCAGGAUCUCCUCACAGGCAGAAGGAAAUAUAAAGAAUUGUCUCCUUUGUUACAGAAUUCCCACCCAGUGGAGGCAAAGGAAGUGACAACAUACAGAGGGUCCACUCCAGGAAGUUCAAAAACUCUGUGUACUAACCCUGUUCCUGUCUAGUAAAACAUGCAUUUGUGAUUUUGGCAGCAAACCCCACAGUUUCCACCACAUGCUAUUUUGAGCAUUUUCUUCCACUUCAUGGCAGAAAUGGUAGGAACAGAGAAGUUCUCACACUGGGCGAAAGAUUUCUGCAUUGCUGGGGAUUGGACUAGACAACCCUCAUGGUCCCUUCCAAUUCUUUUGAUUCUAUGAGAAAGAAAGAAAGAAAGAAAGAAAGAAAGAAAGAAAGAAAGAAAGAAUCAUGCUGAGCCUUGGCUUGGGUCAAAUUUAGGUUUAAGGAAGAAAUCACAGAGUUUUUGUUGUUUAGUCGUGUCC